UUUUUAGUACAAGUAUAGCCCAUGCAAUAUUUGGGAUAUACUUAUACUAAAA
Molecule: microRNA precursor, 52 nt
Organism: Camelus ferus (Wild Bactrian camel)
Lineage: Eukaryota; Metazoa; Chordata; Mammalia; Artiodactyla; Camelidae
Rfam family: mir-1302 microRNA precursor family
Source: Rfam